ACAAAAAAUAAAAACACAGAACUCAAAUCCAGACUGAAAUAUAGAUAUAAUUUACAAAGAUUAUCAAGAAACUCUUAAAAAUAAGAAAUAGUCAAAAAACUGAAGACUUACUCAGAAAUAGUAUCUUGAAUAAGAGAAAAAAAUCAGAUAUUAGUUAUAAUAGAAGAAUACUGAAAUAUAUCAAUUCAAGUAAACUUAGUAGAAUGAAGUAUAUACACACUACUAGAUUCAGAAGCAAUCAGAAUAUUCAUAAAAAAAAAUACACAGUCAAUAUCAGAAUACAAAACAAAGAGAAAAAAAAAGUCUAUCAGCUACA
Molecule: small RNA, 316 nt
Filed under: Histoplasma capsulatum var. duboisii H88
Lineage: Eukaryota; Fungi; Ascomycota; Eurotiomycetes; Onygenales; Ajellomycetaceae
Description: Histoplasma capsulatum H88 hypothetical RNA
Source: RNAcentral